UUCCUUCGGGGGAUCAGCAGUCUAGAAAACAGCACAAAGGGCGCAAGCCUGAUGCACGACGCCGCGUGCGGGAUGAAGUCUUUCGGGAUGUAAACCGCUGACAGGGGGGACGAUGGCAUUUGCAGCUAAUAUCUGCAGAUGUUGACGGUACCCCCAAAGGAAGCACCGGCUAACUACGUGCCAGCAGCCGCGGUAAUACGUAGGGUGCAAGCGUUGCCCGGAUUCACUGGGCGUAAAGGGGGCGUAGGCGGAUCCGCAAGUCGAUUGUGAAAUCUCCGGGCUCAACCCGGAAACUGCGGUCGAUACUGCAGAUCUAGAGGACAGAAGAGGAGAGCGGAACUCCUGGUGUAGCGGUAAAAUGCGUGGAUAUCAGGAGGAACGCCUAUGGCGAAAGCAGCUCUCUGGAAUGUUCCUGACGCUGAAGCACGAAAGCUAAGGUAGCAAACCGGAUUAGAUACCCGGGUAGUCUUAGCCGUAAACAAUGUACACUAGGUAUUGGCAAUGGUCAGUGCCGCAGCUAACGCGAUAAGUUACCGCCUGGACUACCACCGCAACGCUAAAACUCAAUGAAUUUUGACGGAU
This 582-nucleotide ribosomal RNA is filed under the name uncultured bacterium. Its description in RNAcentral is "bacterial SSU rRNA". It matches the Rfam family "Bacterial small subunit ribosomal RNA", at positions 335 to 918 of the family's 1533-position model. The record is from RNAcentral.